RNAcentral lists this long non-coding RNA (1354 nucleotides) under Nicotiana tabacum (common tobacco). RNAcentral describes it as "long non-coding RNA (NTAB_LNC011001)". Lineage: Eukaryota; Viridiplantae; Streptophyta; Magnoliopsida; Solanales; Solanaceae. The record is from RNAcentral.
UUUCAUAGAACCAUUCGCAGUCGAUACAAAUCUAUAGUCUUUUCUCUCUGAAAAUUGCAGAAAGAGUAUAGGGAGGGAAAUUAAUGAAUGACGUAACUAGAAGUCAGUGUAAUACAGGCGUGCAUGUAAGAAACUGAGAAGGAAAGCGUGUGAUUUGGAUAUUGCAUUUCCUUCUUCCCUAUUGAAUGCUUGGCACACUGCAAAAGAAAAAAAAACUUCACCUCUUAACUCUCCCUUUGGACUUUUUCUUGAUCUCUUUUUUCCUCCUCUCUCUUCGUUUGUCAUAUAAUGGCGGCAGAUUUUACCUAAACUUGACGUGAAAUAAAUAGAGUGAGAGAUUCCAAUCCAUAGAAAUAUUAGUACACAUUUUGCUUGCGUGUUUACCUAGGUUAAAAUUAUCAAUGCACUAAACAGGUAGCUGCUAUCUUCGACUGCAUUUCUAGAGAAUUUUUUUUUUUUUAUCUCUUUCAUCUCAUUUUAUAUGAUAUUAUUACUAUUAUUUGAAGAGUCAGACAAUAUUCGAUUUUAAGAAUAUAUUGUUUGUUUUACUUUUCUCUAUCAACUGUUUUAUAUUUAGAUGAACGGGGUUAUAUUACACAAUUGGAGUAUUUGCUAAAGUAGGAAAUUUGCCCCUAUUUAUCAAUUCAUGAUGAUGACGAGAGCUUUGGAAGAAAUGCCAGUGCAGUUGGGGGGUUGGAUAAUGAAUAAGGGGAUAAGCCGUCGUAAAUCAAAGACGGAUCCAGGAUUUGAAUUAUAUAAGCUUUUUAAGAUUUUUACUAUUAAAUUCAUUAUAUUUCUAAAACUAUGAAGUUCAUAUCUAUUAUCCAUUUGUUAUAUUUUUAGCAAAUUUUUACGCAUAAAUUUAUGCUAUGCAUCAAAAGUUAUGAAUUUAGUUACACACGAUCGAUGUUAGAAGGCUAGAUCUGCCUCUCUCGUCAAUAUAAAUGACCAUAGAUGAUUGUCGUGAGAUUAAUAUGAUUCUUCUACUCAUAAUCAGAAUUCUCGAUCUAAAUGAUAAGAAAAAAUAUUUGUUUAAUGAAUUUUAUGCGGGGCGAAUUCAAAUUAAUCAAGACAUUAAUGCGAAUAUCAAACAUCGAAUAUCGAACGAAAAAACCCAAAAAUCGUCAUAUGUGUAGCGAGAGGUAUAGGGUCAUAGUACAAUAGAUAAUGUCAGAGGUCCAUCAUUGUCUCAAUAAUAUAAUCAGCGUGCAUAUAGAGUACUCUGCUAUAAAGCUUUUAAACUGCAGAAACUUACAAAGAAAGAAGCCUGUACUCAGUCAUGACGUUUCCCUCAACCCUCCCCUAGCAUCUUGUAGACUUGGGGUUGGUUUUCUCGCCUUACUCUUUCUUUUCC